This 86-nucleotide transfer RNA is filed under the name Biomphalaria glabrata. It matches the Rfam family "tRNA". From Rfam's summary of the family: Transfer RNA (tRNA) molecules are approximately 80 nucleotides in length. Their secondary structure includes four short double-helical elements and three loops (D, anti-codon, and T loops). Further hydrogen bonds mediate the characteristic L-shaped molecular structure. tRNAs have two regions of fundamental functional importance: the anti-codon, which is responsible for specific mRNA codon recognition, and the 3' end, to which the tRNAs corresponding amino acid is attached (by aminoacyl-tRNA synthetases). tRNAs cope with the degeneracy of the genetic code in two manners: having more than one tRNA (with a specific anti-codon) for a particular amino acid; and 'wobble' base-pairing, i.e. permitting non-standard base-pairing at the 3rd anti-codon position. Lineage: Eukaryota; Metazoa; Mollusca; Gastropoda; Planorbidae. The record is from Rfam by way of RNAcentral.
CCCGCGAUAGCUCAGUUGGUAGAGCGGAGGACUGUAGUAGCCAGCUAGUAAUCCUUAGGUCACUGGUUCGAAUCCGGUUCGCGGGA